UUCCUCUCUGGAUUCCAAAAAGGGGCGAACACGAUGAAGGUCACUGCAGCAGCUCUUUGCUUCUUCACACUCUGCCUCCUUGCUUGCUUCAUGGUUGCUAGUGGUGCUUGUCAAGAUUCUAGCUGCCCCAAAUGGUUUUGUUGUAAAUACGAUCCCUACUUCGGUAGGGAAAUUUGCCUGACAUGUAUUCGAUCUUUGGGCCGCUUGAGAGCAUCCUCUCAGACUUAACUAUGCUCCAUGGUAUCUUUGCCUUUCUGGGAGAGAACUAAGUGGAUACUUGAAGCCAGGAUUGCGUAUGCUACCUCAAUAAAUUGAUACGUAUGUAGUUUUCAUAUGAAUAAAGUUUUGCUGUUUAUUUAACUGUC
Long non-coding RNA from Selaginella moellendorffii, 365 nucleotides. RefSeq lists it as uncharacterized. The transcript is spliced from 2 exons. The record is from RefSeq and is a predicted model, not a curated record. NCBI's taxonomy places the organism in Eukaryota, Viridiplantae, Streptophyta, Lycopodiopsida, Selaginellales, Selaginellaceae.